RNAcentral lists this long non-coding RNA (1026 nucleotides) under Neogobius melanostomus (round goby). RNAcentral describes it as "lncRNA (ENSNMLG00000004058.1)". Lineage: Eukaryota; Metazoa; Chordata; Actinopteri; Gobiiformes; Gobiidae. The record is from RNAcentral.
UUUUCCAGCUGGUUCUGAACUCUCCUGUCGGACACUCAGUCACUCACACGUACAUGAGACUGUUGUCCAUUUUUCCUGUACAACAUCCCAGCCCUGUGAUUUCUCAAAGUUGAUAACACUCCUCGUGUUAUGUGGUCAACUGAGAAAUCCAUAUUUAAAUUGAAUAUAGUAUGUAUACUCUAGAACUCCAUUCACCUAUGGCUCUCUGAUAAGUUCUCAUUGGACGGUUGUUUGCUAACUAUUGCUUCAUUUCAAAAUUUCCCCACUGUAUUGAUCCACUAAAAACUGUUUACUUAUGAUGUAGAUUCAACAAGCUCCCAGUGUGCAGGUGUCUAUUUUACCACGCUGUCGUACUCUCAGUGCAUCUGGACACAGUCUUCUUAUAAGAUAUACUCUUUAAAAAGGCAACACAUAGGCUUUUCGACACAACAGCUCCACAUGUAUUUCUAUCCGUCACCACCGAAUUCUGCCGUGUCUUUAUUGCAGUUCCUGUUCUUGGAGUAAGAGUUCACAAAUAGCUCCAGUUUUCCCUGGAGAAGUUUCUGGUACCGCCCAAGGACUUCUGUGAGACCUGCACAUGUCUGCAGUGGAGACGACGCCUCUGCUGUGGCGUUCUGUCAGUGUAAAAAACACACAAAGGUCUGUCUGCAAAGCAUUUCCUGAAGGACAUAGGCAUGACAUCUGGAAAGCUGAACAAAGCUCUGAAAGAGCUCGCUCAAGAAGGAGAAAAGGCUAGCUUCUGGCUGUGGCUGCGGAGGAACGACAAAAUCUGGGGACCAAGAAGCCACUGAUGUGACCUCUAAGCCAAGCUGCAGGGGGCAGCAGGGAGACAUCCCUGUCCGCUGCCCCACCAUCCUGAGAUGUUCUGGUGAUUAAAGGGGCGAAACAUCUGUGAAGGAUGGCUCCCAGCUGAAGACCCUGCAGCUGGGCUCCUGGCACUGGCGGAAGUGCGACAGGCAUUCUAUGCCUCGCAGGUACUUACACCUACCUGUCAACAAACCUUACAAAAGUGAGUUACAAAUAUAG